Molecule: ribosomal RNA, 382 nt
Filed under: uncultured microorganism
Description: bacterial SSU rRNA
Rfam family: Archaeal small subunit ribosomal RNA
Source: RNAcentral
GUGCAGCAGGCGAGAAACCUCCGCAAUGCGGGAAACCGCGACGGGGGACCCCGAGUGCCGUGGCAACGCCACGGCUUUUCCGGAGUGUAAAAAGCUCCGGGAAUAAGGGCUGGGCAAGGCCGGUGGCAGCCGCCGCGGUAAUACCGGCGGCCCGAGUGGUGGCCGCUAUUAUUGGGCCUAAAGCGUCCGUAGCCGGGCCCGUAAGUCCCUGGCGAAAUCCCACGGCUCAACCGUGGGGCUUGCUGGGGAUACUGCGGGUCUUGGGACCGGGAGAGGCGGGGGGUACCCCUGGGGGUAGGGGUGAAAGUCCUAUAAUCCCCAGGGGGACCGCCAGUGGCGAAGGCGCCCCCGCUGGAACGGGUCCGACGGUGAGGGACGAAGG